RNAcentral lists this small RNA (563 nucleotides) under Pan troglodytes (chimpanzee). RNAcentral describes it as "retained intron". The record is from RNAcentral. Lineage: Eukaryota; Metazoa; Chordata; Mammalia; Primates; Hominidae.
AAACAGGCCCUAGCCGGCCGGGCAGUGCUCUCCCCGGGGGCCUGGCAGGUUUACUGGCUGCAGCAGCAGCUUUCCUUGUGGGAGGGUCUUGGGCCAUGUGCCCUGCGGCUGGCCUGUAGGCUGUCACAGGUUUAUUCUUGGUCCUGCAGACAAUCAUGACAUCAUCUCCAUGAAGCUGUUCCAGCUGAUGGUGGAGCACACGCCUGACGAGGAGAGCAUCGACUGGACCAAGAUCGAGCCCAGCGUCAACUUCCUCAAGUCGCCCAAAGACAACGUGGACGACCCCACGGGGAACUUCCGCAGCGGGCCCCUGACGGGGUGGCGGGUGUUCCUGCUGCUGCUGUGCGCUCUCCUGGGCAUCGUUGUCUGCGCCGUGGUGGGGGCCGUGGUGUUCCAGAAGCGGCAGGAGCGGAACAAGCGCUUCUACUGAGCGGCGCCUCCGGCGGGGCCUGUCCCUGAGCCCAGGAGCCAAUGUGAACUUUUUUUUUUUACCGGGAUUAUAAAAGAACAACAAGAUGACCUUAUUUCUUAACUGUUUCAAAUAAAUGAUUAAAGUAUUUUCA